GAGAGCCGACCUACGGAGAAAUCCGUAUGGGCGGUUCGGGAAGGAGAGGUUGGAGACGGCCCCCUCCCAAUGGGGGUAUCCGAAGGGAUUAAACGCGCCAACCUCUUACUUUCAC
Molecule: non-coding RNA, 115 nt
Filed under: Salinibacter ruber
Lineage: Bacteria; Pseudomonadati; Rhodothermota; Rhodothermia; Rhodothermales; Salinibacteraceae
Source: RNAcentral